UGCCUAUCUCCUUUGUCAUCCUUCCCCCUACCUCAUUUUUUGAGGAAAUGCCUGCUUUGUGAAAUUGUGGGUAAACAGAUCUCUGGGCCCACUCAAAGGGUGGUUCCUGAUCCCACUCUGGAGACGGCUGCCUCUGACUCUUGGCUUUCCUCAUCUGACCUCGCCUCAUUCCUAGCCACUCAAUCAAAGGAGACAGAGAGAGAGAGAGACUGACUUGGAAGGAGAACCAAAAGGAAAAGGAGACUAAAGUCGUUUUAUUCUAGAUGUUUUCGGACAGGUGUUCACGUCAUCUCCAGAUUCCAUGAAGAGAUAAUCUCCAAGGUAUCCCUCAAGUUAAAGAGACGGCACUUCUUCCCUCCCCCGCCUUUCACCACGCACCAGUGCCAGCCGGGGGAGGAGACGGCUGAGAGAAGAGGGAGGAAGGGGGAAAAGUGAGAGAAGCAAGAUGAGAAAGGGGUGUUGAAGGGAGAGAUGAAGGCAGGAGGAAAGGAGUGUUAGAGGUGGUGGCGAGCUUCUGGCGACCGCCCGCCCGCGCUCCGGACCCAGCCGGGCGCGGCCCCCGAGCCCCGCGGCGAGCAGCCCAGCCCGCGGCCCCGAGAGCAGCCCGGACGCGACUCUCCGCCCGGCAGCGACCGGCGCUCCGCGCGGUGACCCCCGCCCGCGCACCCCCGGACCUGGAGCGCCGCCUUCCCGGCUCCGGACUGCUGCGGGCCAGCGCUCCCGGGAUUGGGAUACAGUCACUGGCGGUUCAGAGCCUGGGAGAAUUGUCAGCUUUAUUCUGACUUAAAUCUGAGGCAAGCAAAGCUAUUUAUUUUGAGAUAUCUGGAAAGAAACCAGACUGAAGCCUCCAAGAAGGCCCACUCGAAAAGAAUCUUAGUGAUAUAAUAAUUCCUAAUAGGAACUCACCCAUGAGGGAGGAGAGAUGUUAAGGGUGAGUUAGCUGGGGAUGGAGGAAGCCACUGCUAAUCAAAACACCAACCCUAUAAUUUUCUAUCUCCUCUCAAUGGAAGAGGGACC
Molecule: long non-coding RNA, 1017 nt
Filed under: Ailuropoda melanoleuca (giant panda)
Lineage: Eukaryota; Metazoa; Chordata; Mammalia; Carnivora; Ursidae
Description: lncRNA (ENSAMEG00000027401.1)
Source: RNAcentral